Molecule: ribosomal RNA, 254 nt
Filed under: uncultured bacterium
Lineage: Bacteria
Description: partial 16S ribosomal RNA
Rfam family: Bacterial small subunit ribosomal RNA
Source: RNAcentral
UACGGGGGGAGCAAGCGUUGUUCGGAUUUACUGGGCGUAAAGGGCGCGUAGGCGGCCACCGCAAGUCGACUGUGAAAUCUCCGGGCUUAACUCGGAAAGGUCAGCCGAUACUGCGGGGCUAGAGUGCAGAAGGGGCAACUGGAAUUCUCGGUGUAGCGGUGAAAUGCGUAGAUAUCUGGAGGAACACCGGUGGCGAAGGCGGCAUCCUGGACCGAUACUGACGCUGAGGAGCGAAAGCCAGGGGAGCAAACGGG